UCUGCAUGUAGCCGUCCUCCCCAGGAAAAUGUUGCCAGGCAAGUAACGAACCACUUAGUGCUAAAACAAGACAAGAAAUGUUUCCAGGCGAUGUGUAAGUGUCAUAUUUGCAGAGUGACUACUUCAGUUUCUGUCAGAUUCUCUAUCAGCAAUCUGUAUGAUGGCAAAUAUUUUCUCAUAAUGGUAUUAGUAUAUACAAGUUGGAAAACCUACUGCUUAUAUAAUUGCUCUUUUUCUGAGUGAAGACUUCCUAUUUACACCUAAAGUAAGACGGCUUUCAUGAAUCCACAUAUGUCCUGAAUCGAACCCAUUUAUGCUGAAUGUGGUGAAACUCUAGCUAAAAAUGACUACUUAUUUUGGCAAUGGAAAAAGAAAGUUCUCCUUAAGCUAUACGGAGGCAAUCCGUAAUUACCUGGAAACAUCUAUCAAAGCAAAAACAAUAUUUCCAGCUAUUUCUCAACACAAGAAUAAGGCUUGGAAAGUUUCCUCAUUGAUUCCGAAGCGAUAUCGUAUUGUAUAGAUUGGAAUAAGUUUUGAUCUAUAGCCAUCUCUUGCUGAAUAAAGCCUUACCACACUCCACCAGAAGUGAGACUGCUUUCUCGGUUCCACACGUGUUCUGAACUGGCAUCUACUGAGCUGGAUGUUAUGAAAUACUCGCUACAGAUGACAUCAAAAUAUUAAAUCCAAGUAUAGUCGGUUCCUUUUUUAUAAUACUAAAAUUGUAGAAAUAACAUUCUU
Long non-coding RNA from Argiope bruennichi, 738 nucleotides. RefSeq lists it as uncharacterized. Lineage: Eukaryota; Metazoa; Arthropoda; Arachnida; Araneae; Araneidae. The record is from RefSeq and is a predicted model, not a curated record. The transcript has 5 exons.